Molecule: long non-coding RNA, 333 nt
Organism: Drosophila pseudoobscura
Lineage: Eukaryota; Metazoa; Arthropoda; Insecta; Diptera; Drosophilidae
Exons: 3
Source: RefSeq, a predicted model, not a curated record
UUUGUAUCUUAAACUGUCGUUCCAUAUAAUACCCAUAUGUACAUAUAUUUAUAAAUCUGUGUAUUUUCUUUCAUGUGCUGCCAAAUAGUAGAUCAUGGAGUAUUUAACGACCUAGGACUAAGUGACUCUUGACGCUUUGAAAUACCCGAAAUUAUGAUUGAAAUAUAACUCUACUUAAAAUUAUAAAAAGAAAGGCUUCUUGAAGAGAAUGACUUGAAAGACUGACCUCCAAUCACUGAAGGAAGAGCCUGAAAAUAUCGACUCGAAUAAACCAAAGUGUGGAAUCUCAGUAAGGAUAUCUGCCAGAUCAAAAAGACUUGUUCAUAGUUGCAC